CGGGUGUAGCUCAGUGGUAGAGCUCCAGCCUUCCAAGCUGGCCAUGUGGGUUCGAUUCCCAUCACCC
This 67-nucleotide transfer RNA is filed under the name marine eukaryotic metagenome. It matches the Rfam family "tRNA". Rfam says of the family: Transfer RNA (tRNA) molecules are approximately 80 nucleotides in length. Their secondary structure includes four short double-helical elements and three loops (D, anti-codon, and T loops). The record is from RNAcentral.